GGAGAGACAGAGGAACCAUCACACACAGAGAACGAUGCAACAGAGAAGAAACUCCGGUUGAACUCACAAAGGCAGCAGCUCUGGGGUUUUGCAAAAGAAACAGACACACGAGCGCACAACCCUGCACCCUGGCUGAUGCCCCGAGUGAACGAGAACCUCCCAGGGCACUGUUCAGAAGGACUCUGACUCCGGGAUCGGAAAAGCAAUCCCAGGGCACGUGGGGAACGAAGCAGAGACGCCUAGAUCUGCAGAGCGGGCCGCUGUGCCUGGCUGGAUCUGGUCUGCACCCUGUCCCUCAUAACCCGCCGUGUGCUCCAGGACUAGCUGGGAUAGCUGUUGGAUGUGCCUGCAAGAGUCAAAAGCCAUCCAAAGGAAUUAUGGAGCCCACUGCUGAAAGGCAGCCACCUCUGGGGUGGCACAUGACAACUACUUAACAGCACACAGCAACACUGAGCAACCACAGAGGCUAGGAGGAAUUGCUAGUGGGGCCCAGUAGCCCUCCCCGACAGGAGCCAGUAUCAGACACAUGACAGGAGGGCGCUAGCUGGCAAGGAUGCAAUACCAGGAGGAGGAAGCCUGGCCGACUGGAAGGGUGCUGGCAAAGGGAGAGGAGUGGAGAUACAUCUAAUUCUAAAUAUAACUUCCCAUGGCAGUUCCACCUCGUCAGGUCUCUUACAGAUCCAGCUCCGUCUUCAUCAUUCCAAAUUCAAAACAGGACCCCAGGGAAAGCCUGAAAGACAAGACGUAGCCUAGAUGCAUCCUCAGGAGAAAUAAUCCUGAGCCAGGAGCGAGCAGCCCUGGCUACCGCUCCUCUGCGGCCCUCCCAGGAGACGCACACCUGGGAGACCCCUCCCACCUUUCCGGCUGGAGCUGCGAAAGGGAGAGCCGGCUGUCAGAGGUGGGGAUCCCCAGCUCUUUGGGGCGGGAGGAGACAGCUUAUUCUCCCAAAACAACUGCCCCAGCGCACAUCUCCAUCCCUGAAACCUCCCCACUGGACCUGCCGGGCAACGGGAGCCUGCUCCUGCCUAUCCAGCCCUUCCACCUCUCCCAACAGGUGCGCCAACCCCCUGCCCAGUGCUCAGCCCUCCCCCCAAGGCUCCCGGGCCAUGCACCGGCCGACAAGGGUUAACCAAUGGCAGGUCGGGGGAUCCACACCUGCUCUGCAUCCCCUCUGAUGUGAAAUUCACAGCCCUGUAGUUCCUUGACCCUUCUGAUCCAGCAGCCACCUCCCCCAGGGGAACUCCUGCCCCCUGUCCUGGCUUAGCUAGGAGCCGCUGAGCAUAACCGAUCCAGGCCAGGACGCCUUGUCGGCUAAUUAACUCUCUGCUCUGCUGGGGUCCGAAGCUUUCCACUAUUUCCCUUCUCCCUCCUGGAGCGAGUUGGCAGCUCUCCGAGGACAGCCAUGCCUCCAGCUGCCCAAUUUAGCCCAAGGCCCCACUGCAAUAGCACCUCAUCCAGCAUGACCGUUGUCCCCCUCCCCCCCCCCCCCAAUGUCCCAUGGACAGCUUGCUUCUGGGAUAGCGGGAGGACUGAGCAAACACCCCUGGCGCCUUUGCCGCAGCACGCACCUGCAGUGCCCAGCCACUGUCCCUCACAAGCAUGGACUCUUUGGGCUUAGCAAGAAAACAGAGGCCAAAAAAUCUGGUGGGCCCAGCAGGGACGUGAUCCCCAAUAGAGUGGAACUCAGUCAAACCGAGCCCAGCUUUCUGCCCUUCUCCUCGCUGAGGACGAUUGUCCUGCCAAAUUUCAGCUCCCAAACCCCGUCCGUUUGGAUAAUGCAGCUGUUCCAAGAGAUGGUGCCAAGGAUUUUGCAUGAGUGGGAAAAGUGCAUUUACUCCAUUCUUUGUUCUCAAGCACGGCUGCCCGAUCUGGGCCCAACUCUCCCCAGGCCUGUCACAGCCCGAGCUAGAAAAAUUUCAGCCGGCGUUUUGGAAAAACAACUACAACAGGUGUUGAGGUUGGGCCCAGCCCUGAAACCUUCACUCCAGCUGCUCCCAGUCCUGCAGUGACCAGACCCAUUCCCAUUGCUCCUGCCCCCACAGGGCUGCAAAUGAGACUCAAACCCAGAGCAGCAGAAACCGAGAUUGCAAUGAAGGAAAAUAACUUGGAACAAACGUGUCCAGCAAACCCAUGACUAUACCUAAUGCUGCAAGCCAAGGGGGGAGAACUACACGUGGGAACCUGGCUGCUGGCCCUUGACUGACUGCGGGUUUCUGGUCCAUUAGAUAUGGUGGCCUGCCAGGGCGGGUCUUGAUAGGACAUUGGAGGAGAAUCGCUCCACCCACCACUGAAAUGCAGCCACCUCUGGGGCAGAACACAGCAGCUGUUUAGCAAUGGGUGGUGUGACAAAGUAGAAAUGUUCGUAAUGUUUUCUCUGAAUACUGUGUGGGUGCCUCAGUUUCCCCUAUGCAGUUCUUAAGUAUCUAGGUGGUGGAAUAAGCAUGUGUGACUGUUGCAGAGCCUGAGAGGGCCAGUGUGAUGGUGUCUGCACAGAGAAUGGCUGAUACCCUGUCUCCUGGCAACUGAUGGCCUGGGCCCCUCCCCUGCAAAGGUGCCAACUGAAGGUGUUGGAGAACAAGAG
Long non-coding RNA from Dermochelys coriacea (leatherback sea turtle), 2581 nucleotides. RefSeq lists it as uncharacterized. Lineage: Eukaryota; Metazoa; Chordata; Testudines; Dermochelyidae. The transcript has 6 exons. The record is from RefSeq and is a predicted model, not a curated record.